RNAcentral lists this ribosomal RNA (440 nucleotides) under uncultured bacterium. RNAcentral describes it as "partial 16S ribosomal RNA". It matches the Rfam family "Bacterial small subunit ribosomal RNA", at positions 338 to 795 of the family's 1533-position model. The record is from RNAcentral.
CCUACGGGUGGCAGCAGUGGGGGAUAUUGCACAAUGGGGGGAACCCUGAUGCAGCGACGCCGCGUGGGUGAAGAAGCGCCUCGGCGCGUACAGCCCUGUCAGCAGGGAAGAAAAUGACGGUACCUGAAGCAGAAGCCCCGGCUAACUACGUGCCAGCAGCCGCGGUAAUACGUCGGGGGCAAGCGGUAUCCGGAUUUACUGGGUGUAAAGGGGGCGCAGACGGCGAUGCAAGCCAGGAGUGAAAGCCCGGGGCGCAACCCCGGGACUGCGCUUGGAACUGCGUGGCUGGAGUGCAGGAGGGGCAGGCGGAAGUCCUGGUGUAGCGGUGAAAUGCGUAGAUAUCAGGAGGAACACCGGUGGCGAAGGCGGCCUGCUGGACUGCAACUGACGUUGAGGCCCGAAAGCGUGGGGAGCAAACAGGAUUAGAUACCCCGGUAGUC